RNAcentral lists this ribosomal RNA (1873 nucleotides) under Escherichia coli. Its description in RNAcentral is "partial 23S ribosomal RNA". It matches the Rfam family "Bacterial large subunit ribosomal RNA", at positions 1 to 1890 of the family's 2925-position model. The record is from RNAcentral. Lineage: Bacteria; Pseudomonadati; Pseudomonadota; Gammaproteobacteria; Enterobacterales; Enterobacteriaceae.
GGGUUGUGAGGUUAAGCGACUAAGCGUACACGGUGGAUGCCCUGGCAGUCAGAGGCGAUGAAGGACGUGCUAAUCUGCGAUAAGCGUCGGUAAGGUGAUAUGAACCGUUAUAACCGGCGAUUUCCGAAUGGGGAAACCCAGUGUGAUUCGUCACACUAUCAUUAACUGAAUCCAUAGGUUAAUGAGGCGAACCGGGGGAACUGAAACAUCUAAGUACCCCGAGGAAAAGAAAUCAACCGAGAUUCCCCCAGUAGCGGCGAGCGAACGGGGAGCAGCCCAGAGCCUGAAUCAGUGUGUGUGUUAGUGGAAGCGUCUGGAAAGGCGCGCGAUACAGGGUGACAGCCCCGUACACAAAAAUGCACAUGCUGUGAGCUCGAUGAGUAGGGCGGGACACGUGGUAUCCUGUCUGAAUAUGGGGGGACCAUCCUCCAAGGCUAAAUACUCCUGACUGACCGAUAGUGAACCAGUACCGUGAGGGAAAGGCGAAAAGAACCCCGGCGAGGGGAGUGAAAAAGAACCUGAAACCGUGUACGUACAAGCAGUGGGAGCACGCUUAGGCGUGUGACUGCGUACCUUUUGUAUAAUGGGUCAGCGACUUAUAUUCUGUAGCAAGGUUAACCGAAUAGGGGAGCCGAAGGGAAACCGAGUCUUAACUGGGCGUUAAGUUGCAGGGUAUAGACCCGAAACCCGGUGAUCUAGCCAUGGGCAGGUUGAAGGUUGGGUAACACUAACUGGAGGACCGAACCGACUAAUGUUGAAAAAUUAGCGGAUGACUUGUGGCUGGGGGUGAAAGGCCAAUCAAACCGGGAGAUAGCUGGUUCUCCCCGAAAGCUAUUUAGGUAGCGCCUCGUGAAUUCAUCUCCGGGGGUAGAGCACUGUUUCGGCAAGGGGGUCAUCCCGACUUACCAACCCGAUGCAAACUGCGAAUACCGGAGAAUGUUAUCACGGGAGACACACGGCGGGUGCUAACGUCCGUCGUGAAGAGGGAAACAACCCAGACCGCCAGCUAAGGUCCCAAAGUCAUGGUUAAGUGGGAAACGAUGUGGGAAGGCCCAGACAGCCAGGAUGUUGGCUUAGAAGCAGCCAUCAUUUAAAGAAAGCGUAAUAGCUCACUGGUCGAGUCGGCCUGCGCGGAAGAUGUAACGGGGCUAAACCAUGCACCGAAGCUGCGGCAGCGACGCUGAUGCGUUGUUGGGUAGGGGAGCGUUCUGUAAGCCUGCGAAGGUGUGCUGUGAGGCACGCUGGAGGUAUCAGAAGUGCGAAUGCUGACAUAAGUAACGAUAAAGCGGGUGAAAAGCCCGCUCGCCGGAAGACCAAGGGUUCCUGUCCAACGUUAAUCGGGGCAGGGUGAGUCGACCCCUAAGGCGAGGCCGAAAGGCGUAGUCGAUGGGAAACAGGUUAAUAUUCCUGUACUUGGUGUUACUGCGAAGGGGGGACGGAGAAGGCUAUGUUGGCCGGGCGACGGUUGUCCCGGUUUAAGCGUGUAGGCUGGUUUUCCAGGCAAAUCCGGAAAAUCAAGGCUGAGGCGUGAUGACGAGGCACUACGGUGCUGAAGCAACAAAUGCCCUGCUUCCAGGAAAAGCCUCUAAGCAUCAGGUAACAUCAAAUCGUACCCCAAACCGACACAGGUGGUCAGGUAGAGAAUACCAAGGCGCUUGAGAGAACUCGGGUGAAGGAACUAGGCAAAAUGGUGCCGUAACUUCGGGAGAAGGCACGCUGAUAUGUAGGUGAAGUCCCUCGCGGAUGGAGCUGAAAUCAGUCGAAGAUACCAGCUGGCUGCAACUGUUUAUUAAAAACACAGCACUGUGCAAACACGAAAGUGGACGUAUACGGUGUGACGCCUGCCCGGUGCCGGAAGGUUAAUUGAUGGGGU